Molecule: long non-coding RNA, 563 nt
Filed under: Callithrix jacchus (white-tufted-ear marmoset)
Lineage: Eukaryota; Metazoa; Chordata; Mammalia; Primates; Cebidae
Description: lncRNA (ENSCJAG00000047610.3)
Source: RNAcentral
CUUUCUUUCUAUCUUUCUUUUCUUUCUCUCUCUCUCUCUUCCUUCCUUCCUUCCUUCCUUCCUUCCUUCCUUCCUUCCUUCCUUCCUUCCUUCCUUCCUUCCUUCUUUUCUUUCUUUUUCUUUUUCAACCGUGUCUCAUUCUGUUGCCCAGGUUGGACUGCUGUGGUGCAAUCUCAGCUCACUACAACCUCCACCCCCUGGGUUCAAGCAAUUCUCCUUCCUCAGCCUCCCGAGUAGCUGGGAUCACAGAUGGAUCUGAGAACGCUGUCUGGGCUUGGUGCCAAGGGCUGGUAUUUCACAGCAGCGACCGCCUCACAGACGAGCUGUGGGAAGCAGGAGGGAGACUCUCUCUUAGGGUGCCACUACUAUGGAGACACAGCUGGGCUGAACAAGAUUUGCUUCAAACAACAACAAGAGAGACAGAAAGUAUCUGGUUCAACCGCUGCCUGAGCAGGCAGGCACCAGAAGAGCUAGCAGCCAAUCCGGCCAUGCUCGAAGCCAGCUCUGCAGCUCAGCCAAUCAGUGACAUCACUGCUUUCUUUAGCUUGCCCAUGGUGAAGUGA